This is a non-coding RNA of Trichobilharzia regenti, 50 nucleotides long. The record is from Rfam. Lineage: Eukaryota; Metazoa; Platyhelminthes; Trematoda; Strigeidida; Schistosomatidae.
GUACUGAUGAAGAGUCCCAAACUAGGAUGGAGGAAACAGAUGUCCAGUAC